AGGCACUGUUCCGACUAACGUAACGUUUGUCCUGGAGACCAUGGUGGUUUGUUCACGCUAUGUCCUUAUUGUACGCCGAGCCGCCGUAGAAAAGACUCGUCCCGGGUGCUCGCACCGUCACCGUGUGCAGGUUUUGCGCGCCAGUCGCCCUUGUUCUGAAUAAUCAACGUCCCAACUCCACGUUUAUGGUUUACGCUUCAAAUAACUGCUGCUGCUGCACGGAGAACUUCGUCUCGCAGUAUCACCAUGCCUGCAUUUUGCUCUGCGUACGGCUGUACGAGCACCGCCGGCCGAGACGAUAUUCUUGCACAGCCGCUCUCUGGAAACGGAACCAUUGGUCAAGCGCCAGGGCCAAGUCAAUGUUGCAAAACAGAUCCUGAUGACGUCGCAGCAGAUCCAGUAUAUGAUGCAGCAUGGGGCCUCACUCUCCAGUUGGGAAAAGCCGUAGAAACAUCACCAGAGCCAGCGUGUGAGCUGCGUCACGUCACAGAUAAAUCCGUUCAAGUGCGACUACUAAUCCACCAUGAAGCAUCACAAGCAAAUGAAAAGAAAAUUCUGUCAACAAGUGCUACGCAAACAGAGCCUCAAGCUGUUUCUUCAGGUUCCUUGUUUGUUGAGUCAUUGGAGCAGUCUUCCUCACUAGCGUCUGUAAAAGAUCAACACCAUUCCUGCCAACAGGGCAGCUGUUUGACCCUGAAGAAGUCGACUAUGAACGGACACCUUCGGAAACAUAUGGACAAGCCCCUCUUACAGUGCCACUUGUGUUCAGCUGCAUUCGUUCACAAUUCCAAGCUCUUGGCUCAUGUGCGCACCCACACAGGAGAGCGCCCUUUUUCCUGUGUGCACUGCAAUGCAUCCUUUUCAAUGAAAGGCUACCUCGCAAGACACAUCCGUACGCACACAGGACAGCAUCCCUUUUGCUGUGUCGACUGUAAUGCAUCCUUUACGCGAAAAGACAAACUCAAUGAGCACAUGCGUACUCACACAGGAGAGCGUCCCUUUUCCUGUGUCCACUGUAAUGCUUCCUUUAUGCAGAAAGACAAACUGAGUCAGCACAUGCGUGCUCACACAGGCGAACGUCCCCAUUCCUGUCUUUAUUGCGAUGCAUCCUUUUCCCGGAUAAACCUACUCAAUGACCACAUGCGCAGUCACACAGGAGAGCGUCCCUUUUCCUGUGUCCACUGUAAUGCAUCCUUUAUGCGAAAAGGCACCCUCAAUGGCCACAUGCGCAUUCACACAGGAGAGCGUCCCUUUUCUUGUGUCCUCUGCAAUUCUUCUUUUUCGCAGGAAGACUCUCUCAAUGACCACAUGCAUACUCACACAGGAGAGUGUCCCUUUUCCUGUGACCACUGCCAUGCAUCCUUUUCGCGGAAAGACCAACUCAGUGACCACAUGCGCACUCACACAGCUGAGCGUCCAUUUUCCUGUGUCCACUAGCAAGAAUGACACGUAGGCAUGGUAGGGACGAGAAGAAGUAAAAGGGAGUGGGAACCAAAGGCGAGCUUUUCAUUGGUUUUUGGUUUUAUUGCUAGUGCAGCUGGGCACCCACUAAUGGGCAGAGAAGGUACCCCAACCUGGCGUUCAGUGUUGUGUGUACUCAUUUCUCGUAAAAGUAGCUUCUAUCUAACUUCUUUCACUUCCGUUUCCCCUUUCACGAACGAUGUUGAGCCAUGGUUCCUUAUGGUUGGAGAAGUACAUCUGUUAUUCUAAAUCACUGCUACUUGAGUAUUGACACUAAUGAGCGCCAGGACGGCAUAACUCUCCUUCAGAAAAACAAGAUUGGCUGCAUAUCUGCGUGCUUCCCUGCAAAUGUCGUCGAAAGACGAUAGUCUUCUGCCAUUUAUGUUUUGCCUUGCCUCAGACAACGUCUUCUCUAUGUUGAACCGGCUGCAUCUGGCUGGCAUUGAUAAAAUAGAGGAGGCGCUGUAUGAGAUAUGGACGCCGUUUGACAGUGGCGUCGGGAGACAUGAGCUUGGGCAGAAGCUAGGGCGACUGCCAGGUGGCAGCACCAUUUCGUCCGCAAAUGGCUUUUUUGUGCACAGUUGCAAUUUCAGUGCAGCUUAAGAAACACAGGGUCUUUAGAAUUGUGUAUCUAUGUAUUUUCUGGUAAAGGAACACACCAUAUAAUACUUACGUGUUGGUGUUGCACCUCAAAUAUGUGUAGUAUUUGCUUUUUGAUCAACAGUGUUCACAAGUAUGAACGCAGCUACCAGUUCAAGACUGCUGGGCAUUUAGCAAGUGCUUAAACUUUGUCCGGGUGGCUGAAUCGUGUGACAGACAGACGGACCAAAAUUUUUCCGUUCAAGUAUCCCAAGAAAGACUAUCAUCUUUAAAAACUAGUGAGUGUCCACAGGCACUGGGAAUCGUGCCUUGUGCCUCCGACUUUGGAAGCAGGCCCUCUGAACACUUCAUCAUACUGGAUUAUUAGAAGUGAAUGCAAUGGAGGAAGGUCAAGAUCCAGUGCCUAUAGGGAACCAGCGCUGGAGUUUCCGCGGUGUUGGCAGUGCCGCCUUGGCGGUCAAAGCGCGCAUACUCCAGCCGCUCCUGCAGACGAGAGUGGCGGCUGGUUGAGGCGAUGCGGGCGCGUAUCGCCAAAACAAAACAAAAGGAUGCUGGCGGUACUGUUGCGCAUUCAAGUGCCACGAUACGUAGAAAUGAGGGAAGACGUAUCCUUCUAUGCUUUUCCUUCUAAAACAUAUGAAUAGUAACGGAUGCGCCGUUACAUCCCGGCAGUCAGGCGAGCACAGUAUGCCCUGCUCUUGCUCCCCUGUCUAGUGGCGUCGGGUUGGUUUCUAAACCGAAUUGCGCGUGUCUGCAAAAUUUAUUCGAUAGUGAAGGCCAUCAGGGGAAACCGAGGCCAACGAGCAGAAUUUAAUCGGUGUUUUGUCGUAAAUAAAGCCUACAUAUUAUGCAGCAUGCG
Rhipicephalus sanguineus (brown dog tick) is the source of this 2920-nucleotide RNA transcript. It is a transcript of the gene named gastrula zinc finger protein XlCGF52.1-like, with no coding region annotated. The record is from RefSeq and is a predicted model, not a curated record. Lineage: Eukaryota; Metazoa; Arthropoda; Arachnida; Ixodida; Ixodidae. The transcript is spliced from 5 exons.